AGCCAGGGCUCGGCCACCAGGCUUGCUGGGUAACUGGGCAGGGCGACUUCCCCUUCAGAGGUGGGGGAGGCUGGGGAGUGCCGCAUGGGGCAGCCCUUCCCUCUGAGCGUGCUCUUCAGUGGGAUAUACGCCUUCCUCAACAACCAUGGCUCACCACUCUACUGGGAGCUCCAUGCAUUGAGCUGGAUGCAGCUGCCUUCUUGGGACCUUCAUAUAUCGAGGGACCAAGGACUUGGAGCUUAACUGGAGUACCGAGGGGCUCUUUCCCCCAGCAUGGCUUGGAGGUAGGGGACACGUGGGGCCUAAGCCUUUAUCUGGACCUUCUUCUGAUGUUCACCACAGAGCCUGACCAUGUCACAAUCAAAACACCUUCAUCAAACCUGCAAGAAUCAGCCCUAGUCACCUGAGGUUCAGAGAGCCCAAGCAGCCUGCCCAGAGGCACACAGCAGAGUCCAGCCCAGUCUCUCCCCGUGAUGUUCAUGUCUUGCUGAGUCCACCUAAAGCCUCAACUUGAGGUGUUCUCAGCCUUGAACACACCUGGUGUUUUGGAGAAAGCCCCACAUGGCUCACAUUCGCUCUGGCCCACCAUGUAAUUCACUCCUGGGCUUCGUUUUUAUUUCAGUUCACUGGGUUCCCCUCUCCUGACCUCCAUCUUAGCAGGGGAGGUCAGGGGUGUCCAGUGGUUACAGCGACGGGAGAGUAUGACUAUGUAGGGGCAGUGAGAGUUUUGGGGGCGAUGGAACUGUCCUGUAUCCUGAUUGUGGUAAGGGUUGUGUGAAUCUAUAUAUGUGUUAAAACUCAUGGGACUGUGCACCAAAAGUAAAAUAAAAAUAAAAAAGGAAAGGAUCGACCUCUGCUGGAACACAUCUAGCUCUGACAGUACCAGGA
This 888-nucleotide long non-coding RNA is filed under the name Equus asinus (donkey). RNAcentral describes it as "lncRNA (ENSEASG00005025296.1)". Lineage: Eukaryota; Metazoa; Chordata; Mammalia; Perissodactyla; Equidae. The record is from RNAcentral.